This is a long non-coding RNA of Cercocebus atys (sooty mangabey), 4549 nucleotides long. RefSeq lists it as uncharacterized. Lineage: Eukaryota; Metazoa; Chordata; Mammalia; Primates; Cercopithecidae. The record is from RefSeq and is a predicted model, not a curated record. The transcript is spliced from 3 exons.
CCCCUCCAAGAGCUUGCAGAGGGACCCCUCCUGCCCUUGGAAGCCAGUACUUCCUCUGUGCUGGAAGAUGCUCCAGGGGCCUCCCCGACCAAAGCAGCAGGUGUCCUCACUGGGGGCUGCCCCACCUUGUCUCUUGGCUGCCAGCAGUGACUAGGGAGAAAGUCCAGGGUAACCUGGAUGGGGACCUGCUGGGCCUGGUCAGGAAGAAGAGAGGUUGCAUGUCCAGGAGCUGCACGAGGCAGCCAGGACGUGCCUGCAGGAGCCAGGGAGCAGCCCCAGUAUUAGAUUUCCAGGGUGCUUUAUCCAGGGGGACAGCAGAACUAUUGAGGUGGAGGCACUUGCUUGGCACAUAGGAUUAAUUACCUGGCAAAGUCUGCAGGUCGUGGGUCAAAGAUGAUUCUGGGAUGGCUCCCAGAAGCCUGGAGAAGGCGAUGGGUUGUGUUGAGCCAAGCUGCCCUGGCAGAUGGCAGAGGAAGGAAGAAAGAGGCCGAGGGCAGGGACUCCAGUGAAACAUCGUGGUUCCCUACUCCAUUCCUGGACUUGAGCUAAUUUCCUGUCUGGAACCAUUGAUUGCGGAGGUGGCCAGGUCACCAGAAGGAAGGACCAGGCAAUACCUUGACAAGGAUGUUCUGUAGAAUCCUGCUGUCACUCAGGUGGCUGCACGCUGGGAGAAUCCAGAGAUUUUGAGGACAAAUGGACACGGGAUGUGAGUGGACCCUGAUACUGGAGGCCCAGAGUGCCAUUGUGGCCUCCCUCUUAGAGAAGGGGCUGACGGGGCCAGGUAAUAAAAGGAAUCCUGCCAAAGUGUGGGUCACAGUGAGACCCCUGGGCCAGAAGACCAUCCAGUGGCCGCUUCCCUGCCCCCUCAGUACGUAAUUAUAAUUAAUGUACUUGGUGGCUGGAGUAGCCAUAUAUUGGAUCCCAGGCCUGUGUGGUAACAGACAUCACAGUGCGGAAGCCCACAGGAAAGUCUUUGACACCAUCCCCUUUCCAUGGCCAAGAGAGUAAAUCACAAACCACGUUGCAUCCUGGGAGGAUGGCACCACCAUUAAAGGCCUCAUGGAGGUGAGGGUGGCGGACUGUCAUCUCUGUUUAAUUCUCUGGCCUGGUCAUUGCAAAGACUGAUGGAUCCUAGAAAGUGACUGUAGACCACUUAGCCUCAACCCGGUGGUAGCUCCAAUUGCAUCUGCUGUAUCAGACGUAUCAUUGUAGCAGAUUAAUGAGGCCAGUGAUUGGCCAUUGCAGUCUUUGCUAUUCCAAUUAGAAAAGAGGAGCAGAAAGAGUUUGCAUUUAUACGGGAGGAACAGCAAUUCUCAUUCCCGGUUUAGUGGCAGGGCCAUUCUAACUCUGUCCUCUGUCCUAAUAUUGCCUGAAAAGAUUUGGGCACCUGAGCAGUCCACCGGACACCACGCUGAUCCAUUACAGUGACGACAUUAUGGGCAGGAGGAGGACGAGGAGGGUCAUGUGCUAAAUGAGACACGUUUGCAUUUAUGGGUGGGAGGUGAACUCUGAGGAUUCAGGGACCUAACUUCAUGGAAGUUUUUAGGGCACCAGUGAUCAGGUUCAUACCAGGACAUCCUCUAAAGUAAAAGAGAAAUUGCUACAUCUUGCAUCCACUACUUCAAAGGAGGAAGCACAGGGCCUGGCAUGCCUUUUUGGGUUCUGAAGGCAACAUAUUUAAAGGAGGGAGCACUGCUCUGACCCAUAGCUCAGCUGACGUGGAAGGUGCCAGCUUCGAGGGGGCCAGGAGCAGAAAAUGACUGAGCAGCCCUGCCACCUGGGCCACGAGACCCGGCAGCCCCCAUGGUGUUGGGGGUGUCAGGGUGGGAGCAGGCAAGUGUGGGGCACGGCAAGCUGUAGUGGGAGGGCCAGAGCCCCUGGGUGUGGGUGGAGGCCGUGCCACCUGUAGAGGAAGCUGCUCACCUUUAGAGAAAUGCUUCCUGUGGCCCAAGCGGGUGGAGCAGCCCAGCCGGGCAUCUCUGUGCACACCAGGACCUGGCUUCAGGAUCAGGGGAGGCUGGGCACUUGCUUUGGGGCCUUGCCGGGACCUGACAAUUUCCACCCUAUUCUUCCCAUGAAGGGGCCCCGAUGAUGGCUGCCAUGUUGGGUUUCUGUUUGUCUCUGCAGGUGGCAAUGACAGUAGUAGUCCCCUGGCAGCCGCACACGCCUCUCCAAGAACCCCAGCGUGCCACCUGCCAGAGCCUGCAGCUCCCAUAUCCCUCUUAUGCCUCCAGCACAGCCCUGCCACCACUUGCAGAGGAAGCUGAGGCCAGAGCGCUGAAAUAACCUGCCCAAGACUGCGCAGCUUGCUGGCGGAGGAGCAGAGCCUGCGGCACGGCCUCUGUGUUACACUGCGUGCCCCAAGGAUGAGGACUGGCCUGGUGUCCUCUGCAGGGCAAUGCCUGGCACAGAGCAGGCCCUGACUGGGGCUGCUGAGUCACUAAGUCCCUGCAUGGGGCCCCAACUGAUGCAGGCUCUGUGAGGUCCCAGGAUUCUGUGGAGAGUCACAGGGGACCUAGGACCCUCAGAACUGUCCUCUGAAUUCAAGCAGUAGUGACUCCUGUGCUUGGCAGGGAGGAUGAUCUGUGGGGUCUGUGGGCUUUGAACUCACACUACUGCAGCAAAGCCCAGAGGCCUCACUUUUUCAUGAACCAGCACAGGCUCUCCUGAGAGCCCUGGAGGGAAGGCUGUGGCCUUACUGCCUCCUGGUGUGAGGAGGCUUCCCUCUCGUCUGUCCCACGAGGGCAGGGCUGACGUUCUAGCCUUGCCAGUGGGCUCUUGUCUGCUUCCCCUCAUCACGCCCUUCUCCGCAUGCUCAUUUUCAGACUGAAGUUGGGUGAUUGCUCCUUUUGUAAGAGUGCUGGGGUGCAGCAGGCUGUGGAGGGGCACUGAGGCAGCCCGGCCUCAACCAGGGUUCCCAGGACCUGAGGCCCCAGUCCGGACCCCAGCAGGCUGCAGGCUGCCCUGUGGACACCACACCUCAACAACACAAAGGGCCCUGCUGAGGUUGGCAGCCAGUGCGCAGGGCACCUCCAGGCCUGGCUCCUAAUGAGGAAGCCAAUGCCAAGGUCACAUGACCGUGAGUUUUUGGGUCCGGUUUAUGGAGAGAUGGUGGGAGAGGAGCAGCAUGGGUGGGUGGUUGUUCACGCUUAGGGGAAUAACUGGGAGCUACAGUAACACACAUGCAUGCCAUUAGAGAAGGGACUUUCUCUAUCUGGGCUGUGGGUGUUCGCAGGCCUGGCCUGGAGGAGGAGGAAGCUGUGCUGUUCCUUUUCUGCCCACGUGUUCUCAGGCCGAGGCGGCCUUAAGUGGCUCCGUGUGGAAAAGCUCUCCAUGGCUUUCUCACACUCUGGACACCAUGUGGACCACUCAGGGCAGCGGGGGCGUUACUCUCGGGCUUGCAGCCUUUCACGGACAUUUGAGAAGAUGCCUCUGUAGUCAGACUUUCCUCUGCUUACUCAUGGGGUUGACAGACAGAACUAAUGUUCUCCCCGGCCGCAGCUGAUCUCGACUCAGAAAAAAAUGAAAAAUGGCAAAACCUGCCUCUAAUGGGCAAUUGCACAUGAGUCAGUUUGUGUCACGGGUGUGUGUUCAGAGCUGGCGGUAGAUCCUCCGGCUUUUAUUUUUUAAGCCGGAGUCACUGCAUUAUUCUCAAUAAUCUCACCAGGCUUUUGGGCUGCCAAGCACUUGUAUUUUUGUCUUUUAGAUUCACAAUAACACAGGAGUGCUGGAGAAUGCGGCAUGGACCACAGUGUACAGUUUCAGUGGAAACCAGGACCAGAGGCAGUGUGCUCGAGGCUCAGAUGGGGUGGGGACACCAGGUGGUAGGAAGGUUGGGAGACAAAGGCUGUGGAUGAGAACCUCAUCGAUCCUGCACCCAGGAGGAGCCAGGGGAGGCUGCCCCGUCCCACAGAGAGGAGACGGAGGCUCCCAGAGGAGGACAGCUGUGCGGUGCUAACUGAAGGGGCCACGUGAAUGUCAUGCAACUCAGUUCCCUGCUGGCACAGGAAGGCCACACUGACAUACUUUAGUGGCUGGCACAACCUGUUUGUGACAUGAGAAUGUCAGUGUUGUAUGGCUGGGCCUGUCAUUUUGUUUGGGAUGAUGACAAAGUUUGAAGGCCACCAUUCAGCCCAGGCCAGCCUGUCUGAGGAGAGCAGUGCCGCUGACUGGUCCAUGAUGACAGUGGUCGGGAUGGUGGGGCAAAAGCAGCCACGUGACCAGUCACAGGGGCAGGGUCCUGGAGUCACACCAUGCCCUGGCUGUGUCACUGCUCCUCCUCUGAGACAGGGGAAGGGCCCUGGAGUCACACUGUGCCCUGGCUGUGUCACUGCUCCUCCUCGGUCACAGGGGACUCUUCACCGCACCUGGGUCAGGCGAGCUGCCCAUGAGGAACUUCCCAAGGUCCCAGGGUUGGGACAGUGGCAGCCGCAGACAGGUUUCCCUGGCUCACUGUGGAGGCUGGCAUGAUGGUGUGAAAACCACAUGCAGCCAAACACGGAGGCACCUAAAUAAGUGUCCUCGAUGGACAGAAGAGGAGAGAAAUCCU